AAACCAGCUCCUCGAGGGGUCCCCACGCAUACUGGGCCUAAAGCGUCCGUAGCCGGCCCCGCAAGUCCUCGGUUAAAUCCACCGGAAGACCGGUGGGCUGCCGGGGAUACUGCGGGGCUAGGGAGCGGGAGGGGCCGGGGGUAUUCCGGGGGGAGCGGUAAAAUGCGUAGAUCCCCGGAGGACCACCGGUGGCGAAGGCGCCCGGCUGGAACGCGUCCGACGGUGAGGGACGAAAGCUGGGGGAGCAAACCGGAUUAGAAACCCUAGUAGUCC
This 273-nucleotide ribosomal RNA is filed under the name uncultured bacterium. Its description in RNAcentral is "partial 16S ribosomal RNA". It matches the Rfam family "Archaeal small subunit ribosomal RNA", at positions 473 to 747 of the family's 1478-position model. The record is from RNAcentral.